Molecule: ribosomal RNA, 840 nt
Filed under: uncultured bacterium
Lineage: Bacteria
Also listed under: 1 other name
Description: bacterial SSU rRNA
Rfam family: Bacterial small subunit ribosomal RNA
Source: RNAcentral
UGAAGGAGCUUGCUCCUGGAUUCAGCGGCGGACGGGUGAGUAAUGCCUAGGAAUCUGCCUGGUAGUGGGGGACAACGUUUCGAAAGGAACGCUAAUACCGCAUACGUCCUACGGGAGAAAGCAGGGGACCUUCGGGCCUUGCGCUAUCAGAUGAGCCUAGGUCGGAUUAGCUAGUUGGUGAGGUAAUGGCUCACCAAGGCGACGAUCCGUAACUGGUCUGAGAGGAUGAUCAGUCACACUGGAACUGAGACACGGUCCAGACUCCUACGGGAGGCAGCAGCGGGGAAUAUUGGACAAUGGGCGAAAGCCUGAUCCAGCCAUGCCGCGUGUGUGAAGAAGGUCUUCGGAUUGUAAAGCACUUUAAGUUGGGAGGAAGGGUUGUAGAUUAAUACUCUGCAAUUUUGACGUUACCGACAGAAUAAGCACCGGCUAACUCUGUGCCAGCAGCCGCGGUAAUACAGAGGGUGCAAGCGUUAAUCGGAAUUACUGGGCGUAAAGCGCGCGUAGGUGGUUUGUUAAGUUGGAUGUGAAAUCCCCGGGCUCAACCUGGGAACUGCAUCCAAAACUGGCAAGCUAGAGUAUGGUAGAGGGUGGUGGAAUUUCCUGUGUAGCGGCGAAAUGCGUAGAUAUAGGAAGGAACACCAGUGGCGAAGGCGACCACCUGGACUGAUACUGACACUGAGGUGCGAAAGCGUGGGGAGCAAACAGGAUUAGAUACCCUGGUAGUCCACGCCGUAAACGAUGUCAACUAGCCGUUGGGAGCCUUGAGCUCUUAGUGGCGCAGCUAACGCAUUAAGUUGACCGCCUGGGGAGUACGGCCGCAAGGUUAAAACUCAAAUG